Zalophus californianus (California sea lion) is the source of this 614-nucleotide long non-coding RNA. RefSeq lists it as uncharacterized. NCBI's taxonomy places the organism in Eukaryota, Metazoa, Chordata, Mammalia, Carnivora, Otariidae. The transcript has 3 exons. The record is from RefSeq and is a predicted model, not a curated record.
CAUACCCCACUUCUAAUGCUACGCUCCAUUCUUCACAGAAAUACGUGUAAGACAAAGAGCAAUAUGAAGCCCCACUCCAGGGUCUGUGAUGCCUCAAUUGAAGGAGGCUUUGCUGACACCAAUAUAUUAAAUUGUUUCUUUAAACAGCACCUCAGAGAUGUGGACACCUGGGGCACAGAAAAAUUCUGAUGUAGGCCUCCGAAGCAAGACUGGAGCGAGCUGUAUGUUGGCCAACCCAGGAGUCUGCGCACAGCCCCAGAGUUCUGAAGACCCGAGUGUGGUGCAAACAGCCCAUCUAGAGGGAAAGAGGAAUGUGCCGUGAACUAGGGGGCAGGCAGUGCAGCGAAAAACGGGAAAAGAGCAGCCCAUUCUGGUGCAGGAGGACCCACCUCUGGGACUGGAGAGGGGCCAGAGAUGGAGGUCAUUAUCAAUGAUGCCUACUUGAUGAAGCCUCAACUGCAGGGUUUGGAAAACUUCGUGGUGAACACAUCAACACGCUGGGCAGGCGGGCACACCCCAAUUCCAUGGGGACAGAAGCUCCUGAGCUUUGGACCCUCCAGACCCCACCUUAAGGAUCUCGUCAUCUGGCUGUUCAUCUGUAUCUUUUGUCAUAC